AGUUCGGAUUGUAGGCUGCAACUCGCCUACAUGAAGUUGGAAUCGCUAGUAAUCGCGAAUCAGAAUGUCGCGGUGAAUACGUUCCCGGGUCUUGUACACACCGCCCGUCACACCACGAGAGUUUACAACACCCGAAGUCAGUGGCCUAACCGCAAGGAGGGAGCUGCCUAAGGUGGGGUAGAUGAUUGGGGUGAAGUCGUAACAAGGUACC
This 211-nucleotide ribosomal RNA is filed under the name uncultured bacterium. Its description in RNAcentral is "partial 16S ribosomal RNA". It matches the Rfam family "Bacterial small subunit ribosomal RNA", at positions 1290 to 1500 of the family's 1533-position model. The record is from RNAcentral.